RNAcentral lists this ribosomal RNA (253 nucleotides) under uncultured microorganism. RNAcentral's name for it is "partial 16S ribosomal RNA". It matches the Rfam family "Bacterial small subunit ribosomal RNA", at positions 524 to 776 of the family's 1533-position model. The record is from RNAcentral.
UACGUAGGGUGCGAGCGUUAAUCGGAUUUACUGGGCGUAAAGGGCGCGUAGGCGGCCGCGCAAGUCUGGUGUGAAAGCCCAGGGCUUAACCCUGGAAGGGCACUGGAAACUGUGCGGCUUGAGUGCCGGAGAGGAGGGGGGAAUUCCCGGUGUAGCGGUGAAAUGCGUAGAUAUCGGGAGGAAUACCGGUGGCGAAGGCGCCCCUCUGGACGGUAACUGACGCUCAUGCACGAAAGCGUGGGGAGCAAACAGG